RNAcentral lists this long non-coding RNA (5215 nucleotides) under Malus domestica (apple). RNAcentral describes it as "long non-coding RNA (MDOM_LNC016235)". The record is from RNAcentral. Lineage: Eukaryota; Viridiplantae; Streptophyta; Magnoliopsida; Rosales; Rosaceae.
UGUUAACAGUAUAGAUAAUAGAUGGUUAGAUACAUUGACAUGUGUCAAGAGAUGUGGUUGUUAUAAUAUCAGUAUGGUUGUUAUAAGUAGGAUAAGGUGUCUUAGUGAAGAAGUAAUAUAGAUAACUAUAUAACAAUUGUAAGUAGAGUAAUUCAGUAACUUUGCAGUACAGAAAUAUAAUUCAUUUCUCUCUCUCUCUCUCUAUCUUUCUAUCUCUAAAACCUCUUCAUCUUCUCUGUGAUAUUACAUUACUGCAACUUAAUAUGUUGCUUAACAUGGUAUCAUUCGCCGAUCAAGCUCUACGUGCUUGAAAGGUUUUUUUUCUGAUCUUGGAAUCGUUGAUUUUUGCUUCCGCCGCUCAAGAUUCUUUCUUUCUCUGUUGUGUUCUUCUGAUCUGGGAAUUUUCAUAGUUCUUUGGGUUGUGAUUCUUCGUCUGCGCAAUCGUGCCCUCUACGUGUUCGAUACAUUUCCUGUGAGAACUCUUCUUCGACAAUUUUGCAAUGGUGACUGCCAAUCAACUACAAAUUGUGCAAUCGCCUAUCACAUCUCUUAUCUCCACCGUUCCUACGUCGGUGACUGUGAAGCUUGAUGAUUCCAACUACCUCACAUGGCACUUUCAGAUGCAACUCCUACUUGAAGGUCAUGGAAUUAUGGGGUUCUUGGAUGGUUCUAGUCCUUGUCCUGCACAGUUUGGCUCUUCUGGAUCUGGCGAUUCUGAUUUAGAUUCUGGAGAUUCCUCGUCCCGAAUUGAAACAGAUGCAUACAAGAUCUGGAAGAUGCAUGAUCGAGCUUUGAUGCAGCUUAUUACUGUCACCCUUUCUCCAUCCGCUAUUUCAUGUGUCAUUGGAAGCACCAGUGCUCGGGAUCUAUGGAUUCGUCUCAAUGAGCAAUUUUCUAUUGUUACUCGUGCAACCAUAUUCCAGAUGAAGUCUGAGUUACAGAAUAUCAAGAAAGGCCCUGAUUCUAUAUCUCAAUUCUUACAGAGGAUCAAGGCUGCUCGUGAUUAUUUGGCAGCUGCCGGAGUCCAUUUCGAGGAUGAUGAUAUUGUCAUUCUCACUCUUAAUGGCUUAUCGGGAGAAUAUAAUACCAUCCGCUCUAUCAUUCGAGGUCGAGAGAAUGUUAUUUCUCUUAAGGAUCUGAGGUCUCAGUUGCUUGCUGAAGAAGCAAUGAUUGAGAAUACAGCUGUUACGCCAUUUUUGUCUGCCAUGAUUGCCAAGAACUCUGAAUCUGGUGGUCAUAGUCAAGGGGUUUCUGCCAAUCCAAGUCCCGGGUAUUCACCACAUCAAUCUUCUGGUGUCCCACUUCAGCAACAUACAUAUUUCAAGAAUAAUUACAUCAAGAACAAGGGUCGAGGAAAAUUCAACUAUAAUACUAAUUCUCGAUUUGGGAAUUCACGAAAUACCUAUACAACUCCUGCUCCUGGUAUUCUUGGUGCCCCUCCAACCCAAUCAGCUUGCCAAAUAUGUGGAAAAUUUGGUCACCUUGCUGAUACCUGUCGGUUUCGAAAUACUGAUGUUGUUGUAGUUGAUGGCUGUCAAAUAUGUGGCAAGAAGAAUCACACUGCUCAGUUCUGUCAUUUUCGAAAUGCCAAUAUUUCUGGUUCUGCUUCUCAAAUGAUGGCAAUGCAUGUAAACUCUUCCUCAUCCACUCCACCAUCAAAUGAUUCAUCUCAGCAGUUCUGGAUUACAGAUUCAGGGGCAACAAAUCACCUCACUGCAGACUUACAGAAUCUUUCCUUGGCUACUCCAUUCUCAUCCACAGAGACCAUUCAAACUGCGAAUGGUGCAGGUUUACCAAUUUCACACACAUUGGUUCUUCUAUCAUUCAGACCCCUACUCAAAAUUUGAAGCUUAAUUCCAUUUUAUAUGUUCCCAAAAUUACUCAGAAUUUGUUGUCUGUGCACAGAAUUUGUCUAGAUAACCAUUGUUGGCUAAUCUUUGAUGCUUUUAAUUUCUGGAUUCAGGACAAAGCCACAUGGAGGAUUCUGUACAAGGGCCAAUGCAGUAAUGGGUUAUAUCCACUACCAAUGUCAAGACCAGCUGCAAUUCAGCAUCAAGCCUAUACAACUGCAUUUCUUGGACAGAAAGUACAUUCCAAUCUAUGGCAUAGCUGACUAGGUCACCCAUCCAAUUCCAUUUUGUUUACUAUUCUUAGAAAGUCCAAUAUCUCAGUCCCCUAUGAUGUCUCAUCUUCUGUGUGUCAUUCUUGUUUACAAGGAAAAUUCAGCAAGCUCCCAUUUUCAUCCUCUGUGUCUAAGGCUGUAAAUCCUUUUCAAAUAGUUCAUAGUGAUGUCUGGGGCCCUGCUCCUUGUACCUCUAUUGAUGGUUUUAAAUACUACGUGACAUUCAUUGAUGAGUGUACUCUCGAUAUUGUUGGCUUUUUCCUCUACAUAAUAAAAGUGAAGUCUGCUCUGUGUUCAUUGGUUUCUAUCAGUUCAUUUUUAAUCACUUUGCAGUUUCUGUUAAAACUUUACAAAGUGAUGGGGGUGGGGAAUAUACAAGUCACACUCUUCAAUCUUUUCUGUUAGAUAAAGGGAUCACUCAUCAAAUCUCUUGUCCCCAUACUCGAGAACAAAAUGGGCUGGCAGAACGCAAACAUAGGCAUGUAGUUGAAACCUCCAUCACAUUGUUACAGAAUGCACAUCUUCCAGCAUCUUUCUGGUCCUUUGCUUGUCAAACUGCGAUAUACCUUAUAAAUAGGAUGCCUUCUUCCACUACAAAUAAUCAGUCACCAUUUGAGGUUCUGUUCAAUUCAGUUCCAGAUGUUCAACACCUUAGAAUCUUUGGUUGUGCAUGUUUCCCAUUCUUAAAGCCUUAUACUAGUAACAAGCUGCAACCUAAAACCAAGUUAUGUAUCUUUCUGGGUUAUGCAUCUAAAUACAAGGGGUACAUCUGUUUUGAAGUUAGCUCAAAGAGAAUUUAUAUUUCACGACAUGUUAUAUUUGAUGAGUGUGAUUUCCCUUAUUCCUCUCUUGUCCAAAAGUCAUCUGUUUCUACUUCACAGUCUGUUCCUCAAAUACCAAUGAAUCCAGUGUCUAUUACACGGGAUAACCUGCUUGUUGGAGUGUCAUCUAAUUCAUCUGUGCCUAGCCUUAGUGUUAUACCUCGCACUGCUACUGCCACUCCUAGAUCUUCCAAUCCUUCUCCUGCACCUGAACUGUCUCAGCCAACAGCAACCGACGACAUCAGCUCCCCCAUUACUUGCAAUGUCCCUCAGUGUACUUCUCCUUCCAUUCCUGUGGCUCCUGAGUUUCUUCCAGAAAGUUUACAAGUCAUUCUUCCUCUACCUCCAUUUAACUUGCAUCCUAUGCAAACACGAUCGAAGAGUGGUAUUGUCAAGAAGAAAGCAUUUAGUGCUCUGACUUCUCCAACUACAGACGUUGACUUAUCUCAGAUUGAACCACUGUCUUAUAAAUCUGCUCUUAAAUCGCCAGUUUGGUAUAAAGCCAUGGAGGAGGAACUACAAGCCUUGCAUUCCCAGAAAACUUGGUCCUUAGUUCUUUUACCAUCAAACAGAAACCUUGUGGGGUGCAAGUGGGUGUUUAAGAUCAAGAGACAUGCUGAUGGUGCCAUUUCGAGAUACAAGGCUCGGCUUGUGGCCAAGGGGUUCAAUCAGGAGGCAGGAAUCGAUUAUGGUGAAACCUUCAGUCCUGUUGUUAAGCCUACUAUAGUACGUCUUGUUCUUGCCUUAGCUGCACAUUAUGGUUGGGGUUACGGCAGCUCGAUGUCAAAAAUGCUUUUUUGCAUGGUAUUUUGGAAGAAGAAGUGUAUAUGGCGCAGCCUCCGGGGUUUGUAGACCCUAUCUAUUCAUCCUCAGUGUGUAAACUUCACAAGUCUUUAUACGGUCUCAAACAAGCUCCCCGGGCAUGGAAUGAGAGAUUUACUAAGUUCUUGCCUUCCUUGGGAUUUCACACAACUUAUGCCGACACUUCAUUGUUUGUCAAACAUACUUCUUCUGGAAUAGUACUUCUUCUUCUCUAUGUGGAUGAUAUCAUCAUCACUGGCAGUGCCAUUUCUGUCAUUCCAGAGCUAAUUUCUGCGUUGGCUACAGAAUUUGAUAUCAAGGAUCUGGGACCACUCCAUUAUUUCCUUGGUGUUCAAAUCACAACCAAUACAGAAGGGUUGUUUCUGUCUCAGCAUAGAUAUGUCACCGAUUUAUUGACAAAGACAGAAAUGCAUCAGUCCAAGUCUUGUGCUACUCCUUGUCUGCCUUCUCAUCGUCUUCUUAAGGAUGAUGGCAUACCAUUUGACAAUCCUCAAUUGUACAGAAGUAUAGUGGGCGCCUUAACAGUAUCUAACUUUCACAAGACCUGAUAUUGCUUUUUUUCGGUCCAUCAGGUUGCUCAGUUCAUGCAGUGUCCCAUGGAGUCUCAUUACUUGGCUGUCAAAAGGAUAUUACGGUAUCUUAACGGCACUCAACAUUAUGGUCUUCAAUAUACCAAGGGCGACUUGGAGUUAAAUGCAUUUAGUGAUGCGGACUGGGCAGGGGAUCCGAAUGAUCGACGCUCUACAACAGGUUUGGUUGUUUUCUUGGGUUCUAAUCCCAUUUCGUGGUCAUCAAAGAAGCAGAACACUGUCUCUCGCUCUUCUACUGAAGCUGAGUAUCGUGCCAUUGCUACAACAGCAGCUGAGCUUGAUUGGAUAAGACAGAUUCUCACUUUUCUGCAGAUUACAGUUUCGACUCCAUCCAUUAUGUUUUGUGAUAACCUCUCGGCUAUUGCUCUGACUUGUAAUCCAGUGAUGCAUCAACGAACCAAACAUAUUGAGAUUGAUAUCCAUUUUGUUCGUGACAGGGUUGCCCAACAGUUACUUCAAAUGCAGUUUGUUUCCUCUAAUGAGCAAUUUGCUGAUAUUCUGACAAAGGGCCUAUCUGCACCACUUUUUCGUGCUCAUUGCUGCAAUCUCAGGCUUCGUGGUCCUUCUCCUGAGCUUGAGGGAGGAUGUUAACAGUAUAGAUAAUAGAUGGUUAGAUACAUUGACAUGUGUCAAGAGAUGUGGUUGUUAUAAUAUCAGUAUGGUUGUUAUAAGUAGGAUAAGGUGUCUUAGUGAAGAAGUAAUAUAGAUAACUAUAUAACAAUUGUAAGUAGAGUAAUUCAGUAACUUUGCAGUACAGAAAUAUAAUUCAUUUCUCUCUCUCUCUCUAUCUUUCUAUCUCUAAAACCUCUUCAUCUUCUCUGUGAUAUUACAUUACUGCAACUUAAUAUGUUGCUUAACAG